Molecule: long non-coding RNA, 1365 nt
Organism: Harmonia axyridis
Lineage: Eukaryota; Metazoa; Arthropoda; Insecta; Coleoptera; Coccinellidae
Exons: 3
Source: RefSeq, a predicted model, not a curated record
CCCGGAUAUAAAACGGGAAAAUUCCCAAGCUUCCCUCAUUUUAGUUGCAAAUACUGAGUUGAAUUGAGUUCUCCAGAAGCUGCUUACAGAUUUUCCUUUGGCGUAUUUUUCCGCAGGUCAGAUCGGAAUGUUCACAAAGCACUUCUCCCUUUUCUGCCUCUUAGUAGUAGUAUCAAUGCUGGCUUUCAGUGACACUUCUGAAGCCAGAUACCUCUCAACCAGAGGCUCCGCUGAUAGGAUCGACAAACUCAAAGAGCUCCUCAAAGAAUUGUUGGAGACUGAAAUUGAGAAGGAAGACCAAGGAGAUGCUCCCCCUAGAUGGCACCCUGAGAGCAAGCUUUUCUACAAACGGGAAGUUGCAGAAACCAAACACUAAUAAAGAUAACGACCCCUGCAAUACGAGGACUACGAUUAAGACAAAAUAACAAUAAUUUUUUACAUGGAUAAGAUCAGCUAAAACAAAAAUUAGAUAUAGAAGAGAAAUAAAAGAUAUACAAUAUUAUAAUAACGAAAGCAAUAAGAAAACAAUAAAAAAAUAAGUGUUUAAAUUAACGAAAAUUUGUUUUAGCUGAACGUAAAUGUUCACUGUGUAUAUUCGUAAUUGAUAAUUAUGAAUGUUGAAGUGUUGAAGAUAUGGAGAACUUGUAUCUCUUAUCUUCUACGAUAGAGUUCAUGCAAUUAUUUUUGUGAUAUUAGUGUAUUAGAAACGAGACAAUAUAAGAAAAUUUUGUUGUAUUGAAUAUAUUAUACAGGAGUGCAGAAAUUGAGAUUCUUUUGAAAUUCGGUAAAUAUAUGAAAAACUUAAUAAAAUAUCCUGUAUAUAUAUUUUGUAUCAAGUUGAUGUGGAAUUCUAUUUCUGCUUUAAAAACAGAACCCUCUUAAGUUGAACGGAAGAUCUGACACUUUGCACCGAAGACAUAUCAGAUCGUACAUAUAUUCCAUACAUAAAUCUAACCAUUAGUUUUCGUCUGGUAUGUUUCCGACCCAAAGUUUCCGUUCAUAUUCAAGAAACAAGAGGCAGAAGUGGAACAUAAAUUAACAAAUUAUUGUUUACCUACAGCUUACAAGUUGAUCUCUGAGAAAAAUGUUGAAGAACUAUGUCGACCUAUUCUUUGUCUUCUGAUGGCAAUGUAAUAAGAGAAAAUUUAUUGUAAUUUAAAUAUGAAGUAAAUGUUAUUAAGUAAUGCAUAAUGAGUGCAAUUACGAUUUUCAACAGAUCGAAAUGAAGUUCUUUGAUGUUCCACCGGAAUAUGUUGUUCAGAGGUCAACUUUCAUUUCAUGGAUGUGAAAUAUCUCAAUGUGUCUUAUCGACUUAUAAGUGUUAAUUGAAAAUGUGCAGUGAUCAAAAACAUGACGAUGAAAUUA